This 590-nucleotide ribosomal RNA is filed under the name Brevibacterium sp. CMT2. Its description in RNAcentral is "bacterial SSU rRNA". It matches the Rfam family "Bacterial small subunit ribosomal RNA", at positions 271 to 878 of the family's 1533-position model. Lineage: Bacteria; Bacillati; Actinomycetota; Actinomycetes; Micrococcales; Brevibacteriaceae. The record is from RNAcentral.
AGACGACGACGGGUAGCCGGCCUGAGAGGGCGACCGGCCACACUGGGGACUGAGACACGGCCUASGGGAGGCAGCAGUGGGGAAUAUUGCACAAUGGGGGAAAMCCUGAUGCAGCGACGCAGCGUGCGGGAUGACGGCCUUCGGGUUGUAAACCGCUUUCAGCAGGGAAGAAGCGCAAGUGACGGUACCUGCAGAAGAAGUACCGGCUAACUACGUGCCAGCAGCCGCGGUAAUACGUAGGGUACGAGCGUUGUCCGGAAUUAUUGGGCGUAAAGAGCUCGUAGGUGGUUGGUCACGUCUGCUGUGGAAACGCAACGCUUAACGUUGCGCGUGCAGUGGGUACGGGCUGACUAGAGUGCAGUAGGGGAGUCUGGAAUUCCUGGUGUAGCGGUGAAAUGCGCAGAUAUCAGGAGGAACACCGGUGGCGAAGGCGGGACUCUGGGCUGUAACUGACACUGAGGAGCGAAAGCAUGGGGAGCGAACAGGAUUAGAUACCCUGGUAGUCCAUGCCGUAAACGUUGGGCACUAGGUGUGGGGGGCAUUCCACGUUCUCCGCGCCGUAGCUAACGCAUUAAGUGCCCCGCCUGGGG